AUACUUACCUGGCGCAGGACUUUACCUUGAUCCAUAAGGAGGUAGUCCCAGGGUGAGGCCCUUACAUUGCACUACGUUUGGGUUGACCCUUGCGAUUGCCCCAAAUGUGGGUAACUCGGGCGCGUAAUUUUUGUUAGUGGGGACUGCGUUCGCGCUAUCCCUAC
This is a non-coding RNA of Strigamia maritima, 164 nucleotides long. Lineage: Eukaryota; Metazoa; Arthropoda; Chilopoda; Geophilomorpha; Linotaeniidae. The record is from Rfam.